Molecule: ribosomal RNA, 432 nt
Filed under: uncultured bacterium
Lineage: Bacteria
Description: partial 16S ribosomal RNA
Rfam family: Bacterial small subunit ribosomal RNA
Source: RNAcentral
AACGAACGCUGGCGGCAUGCCUAACACAUGCAAGUCGAACGAGACCUUCGGGUCUAGUGGCGCACGGGUGCGUAACGCGUGGGAACCUGCCCUUAGGUUCGGAAUAACUCCCCGAAAGGGGUGCUAAUACCGGAUAAUGUCUUCGGACCAAAGAUUUAUCGCCUUUGGAUGGGCCCGCGUUGGAUUAGCUAGUCGGUAGGGUAAAAGCCUACCAAGGCGACGAUCCAUAGCUGGUCUGAGAGGAUGAUCAGCCACACUGGGACUGAGACACGGCCCAGACUCCUACGGGAGGCAGCAGUGGGGAAUAUGGGACAAUGGGCGAAAGCCUGAUCCAGCAAUGCCGCGUGAGUGAUGAAGGCCUUAGGGUUGUAAAGCUCUUUUACCCGGGAUGAUAAUGACAGUACCGGGAGAAUAAGCUCCGGCUAACUCCGU